UGGCUCAGAACGAACGGCUGGCGGCAGGCCUGAGGCAUGCAAGUCGAACGAGAAAGUGUAGCAAUACACGAGUAGAGUGGCGCACGGGUGAGUAAUGGUAUGGGAAUCUGCCCAGAAGUGGGGAAUAACAGUUGGGAACGACUGCUAAUACCGCAUACGCCGGAAACGGGAAAGAUUUAUCGCUUUUGGAUGAGCCCAUAUUGGAUUAGCUUGUUGGUGGGGUAAUGGCCUACCAAGGCAAUGAUCCAUAGCUGGUUUGAGAGAAUGAUCAGCCACACUGGAACUGAGACACGGUCCAGACUCCUACGGGAGGCAGCAGCUAGGAAUAUUGGACAAUGGGGGAAACCCUGAUCCCAGCCAUGCCGCGUGAGUGAAGAAGGCCUUCGGGUUGUAAAACUCUUUUAAUGGGGAAGAUGAUGACGGUACCCAUAGAAUAAGCACCGGCUAACUUCGUGCCAGCAGCCGC
RNAcentral lists this ribosomal RNA (466 nucleotides) under uncultured bacterium. RNAcentral describes it as "bacterial SSU rRNA". It matches the Rfam family "Bacterial small subunit ribosomal RNA", at positions 20 to 518 of the family's 1533-position model. The record is from RNAcentral.